Lucilia cuprina (Australian sheep blowfly) is the source of this 2409-nucleotide long non-coding RNA. RefSeq lists it as uncharacterized. The record is from RefSeq and is a predicted model, not a curated record. The transcript has 4 exons. Lineage: Eukaryota; Metazoa; Arthropoda; Insecta; Diptera; Calliphoridae.
GAUUUGUUUUGCAAACGGGAUAGACAGACAGAUUUAAUUAAAAUAAUUUAACAGAAUCAUUACUUUGGAAAAAACUUAUUGAAAUUUUAUAGGAGGGCAGGUUAAAAAAGUCUAGAUUAGGUUGGCAAGUCGUCCUUGCAGUGUCAUUACUGAGGACACAGAGAAGCGUAUUAGGACACCGGGUUCAUAAACCAAAAUAUAUUGUCGCAGAAAUAUAUGAGCCUUUCGUUCGGAUAUCAACUUCCCAUAGGUAAGUUAAGUCAUUCAAGAAAGUGCUACCUAGUAGUUUCAACCAAUCAUCUGGUAACUCCUGCCUAAGUCAUUACUGGAUAAUUUUCUUUUUGCGUGUCACCACCGCCGUUAAGCUCCGUUAGUUUACAUUCGAAACGAUAGGUAUAUUAAGUCAUGCAAGAAAGUGCUAACUAUCAGAUUCAUUCUAUGUACUUAAGGCAUAAUCAUCAAUUCACAAACAAAAUCUUUACUCUUUAAUGUCAUCACGGACAAUUUCGAGGUAAGGACUUCGGGGCAAGAUGUAACUAAAUUCAAAACUUAAGCUUACUAAUGAAUAAUAAAUAAGGAUUAUAUCUUAAUUCAUUGAACACUAAAAAAAUCUACACUAAAAUGGUUGAUAUUUGUAUUGAAUUUCCUACUCCCUUUAUUUUAUCUAAUUUGCUUGAUUUUUUGCUAUCGCAACUAAAUUAACAAGAAAACAUUAGCAACAAAAUUGAUAUCAUUCCCUAUUACUCGCCAAAAUUAAAUGUAUUAAAGGUAGAAAAAAAAACAACUAAAAAUUCCAAUAAAGCUGUUUGUGUAUUAAGGUAUAAAAACGAAACCUUUUUACGGUAUAUUCAUAAGCUCUAUUAAAUUUACCAAUUAUCAAUAACAACAAAAGAAUUUAUCACAAAAAUCACGGAAGGAAAAAAAACACAGCAACAACAAAUACAGAAGAAUCAAAAGACAAAACCACAAAAAUCGAAUCAAACAAUUUCGUUCAAAAGUACAAAACAACAAUACCAUCACAUAACAGCAACUGAUGAAAAGACAGAAAGACAGCAGAAAUAAAAGUUAUAUAAAAAAACAAAAAUUAAUGGAAAUCCACUGCUAAACGAUUAAAUAUCAUACGCGUCGACAUCACAAUCAAAAUCAUAAGAAAAAAACACAAAAGUAAUACAAACUGAAUAAAAUGAAAAAGAAUCAUCAUUCUCAUACCGAAUCAUCAUCAUCAGCAGUAGCAAACGGCAUUAUCAUCUAUAUACAUACUUUUUGACCUUUUCCUGUAACGGAAAUUCAUCACACAUAAACAAAUAAUAUAAACUAUCACAACACACAUACACUGGCAUCAUGAGAAUUAUAAAAAAAGCAACAAACAUAACGACUAACAGUGGCUCAAACAAAUGAUGAAAAAUGUUGAAUGUGAAAAAAUCCCGACUAAAAUACACAGUCGAAAGGUGAGCUCAACAGCCAGUCAGUAGAAGACAAAAACUACAAAAAAAAUCAAAAGCAAACAACAGUCAACAGAAAUGAAAAUGAAGAACGAAGAAAAAACCUUGUCCAUGAUGGAAACAAGGCAAAAACUGAAGGUACUACAAACAUUUGAAUCUACAUGGUAUGAGUACAAUCGAACAAGACAAUCAGUACGUUUAAAUGGCUGUCCGUCUAUCUAUCUAUAUGUACGAUUGUCUGUAUGUAUCUAUGAGCCUGUUGUUCACAUGUACAAUGUUCUUCAUUCUAUAGAGAAAUAUUAAUUCAUACAAAAGAAUAGAAUAUUAUUUUUAUUUGGAAAAAAAUACAUUUGAAUGUCUCACUUUUCACGUACAUCUUUGACCAUUUGUUUCAUAUAAAAUAUAUGAAUGUACAACGAUCCAGCCAGCCAGUCAUUUCAUUCAACCAACAUCCAUCCAUUCCAACACCAAAAACCUCUGUUGCCUGCAUUUUGGUAUCGUAUCCACCAUACGACAAUUGUCAGUUACAGCAGCAAGUGCCACAAGUUACUACUACUCCACUCAUAAGUAUGUUUGUACGUAUGUACGGACAAACUGACAUACCCUACUACUUUCCUAACAAAUAUACACAUUUACUUUCUGUAUUGCUUGUAACUGCUGCUUGUGGCAGCAACAAAAAAAAAAAAAUAAAAAAAGCAAGGAAAAAAGGAAGCGAAAAUCCCAAAAUAAAUUCAUAAAAAUCAUACAAAGUAGGAAGAGUUUAGAGCGCGGUUAACAAAAGUACUCGUACUUAGUUUAAAAAAUUCCAACUGUAUAAAUGGGAAACGAAUGUAACAAACCACAGAGCUGCGAUAUUCAUAAUUCCAGCUUAAGCUAAAAGGGAUCAGGGGUAUUUAAAUUUGGAAAGGGUGAUGAAUGGUGGCCAAUGGUAUGAUAAUAACCAUCUAGAAUGAGAAACAAUUGUAAG